RNAcentral lists this long non-coding RNA (10060 nucleotides) under Nicotiana tabacum (common tobacco). RNAcentral's name for it is "long non-coding RNA (NTAB_LNC007255)". Lineage: Eukaryota; Viridiplantae; Streptophyta; Magnoliopsida; Solanales; Solanaceae. The record is from RNAcentral.
UCACAACAAGAACUUAAUAGUUAAGAUAAGAGUAACAUUGUCAAUUAAAACUCCCAAACAUUAAUAACCAUACUUUUACUAUUGAAAAACAACAUUAAGAGUUACACACUUCAACAACAAGAACAUGCACAUCUUAGUUAUAUAUCUUAAACAUAAAAGCUAAAUAGAAAACAACAGCAAAAUACUACGACCCCCUCCGUCCCAAACGAGUUGAGAUCGCCUAUAUAAAUUCUCGCUAACCAUAUUACUCCAUAUAAACUCGUCUCACGAAAAUAUCUUUCUUAGCACCUAGGGAAAGGGGAACCACAAGUAGAAGCAACUUUCUUGGCAUUAGGGGAUAUCUUAAACAUAAAGGCUAAUAGAGAACAACAACAAUAUACUACGCCUCUGUCCCCAAACGAGUUUGAGAUCGGCUAUAUGAAUUCUCGUUAACCAUAUUACUCCAUAUAAACUCGUCUCAUAAAAAUAUACUUCUUAGCACUUAGGGAAAGGGGAACCACAAGUAGAAGCAACUUUCUUGGCAUUAGGAGAAGAAAUCAUCUUUUGAAGUCUUGGAUCUUUCAUGUAUUUGCAAAGGCAUGGCCUUUGUUCCUUUAACUUUGAGCAACACAUUGCACUUGGAGUUGUAGAAGACAUUAUGGCAUUUGCACAAACACUUAACAUCACUGGAUUGCAAGUGAUAUCUGCUUUUGCUAUUUUUGUUUCUUGACCAAGAAUUAAAAGUAUCAUUACAAAAAUAGCCACACAUCUCAUGGCCAUAAUGUUAAGAUCCUUUCUUUGAUAGAAAUAAUUGUUUGUAAGUGAGAGUGUAAGUAUUUUCUUGUGUGUGUGUGUGUGUUUUGUGAUGAAUGCAUUGGCUUGUGUGCUCAAUUUAUAGAUGGGGAUGGUAGAAAAAAAAAAGGAUUAAUUAAUAAUAAAAAAGAAAAAAGAAGCUUACUUUUUCUCCCCUCCACUGUUUUUCCUUCAUCAUGUGUUGGUUAAAGUAAAAUAUAUAAGGAUCUUUGAAAAUAAAAUAUAAAAAGAAAAGUAAUUUCGCAAAAGAUUAAGUUAUAUAUGUACACUGAAAAUGUUUUAUAGCAGGUUAUUAUUCUAUUUUUACAAUUUGCAAAGUGUGUUCUCUUGAAUAAUUGAUGUGUGUUAACAGAGGCAGAUGCAGUGUGAAAGUUACGGGUUCAAUUGAACCCAUAACUUUCGACGCGGAGUAGAAAUUUAUGUGUAAAAAUUCAUUAAAAUUGCAAAAAUAAUAGAUUUGAAUCCAUAACUUUAAAUAUAUAAUUGGUUCAAUGUUAAAAUCUUAAAAAUUGAACCCAUAGAAUUUAAAUCCUGGAUUCGCCUCUGUGUGUUAACUUAAUUUGAAAAUAUAAAAAUUAUUUAAAUUGUCAAUGCAUAGAAUAUAAACUAUUUCACAAAUCAUUUAAUUUGAAAAUUGUAAUUAAUAUUUCCACUUUUUGUAAACAGAUAAAAAACUUAGUCUUCUUAUAUGUUUUUACACAGAGAAACUUCUUAUCUGUCAUUGAACAAGGAUGUCAUCCAAACAAAAAGUAAGUAAAUAAAAGAUGGAGAGGGAAAUGAUAGAAAUUGAUAGAGCCAACCAGUAGUAUUAUAUGGUUUUAAUUGGUCAUAAUAUUCGAGUAUUUAAGUUACAACUUAGAUAUCUGAAAGUGAAGACUAUAUUGAGCUAAGUACAAGUAGUUGAUAUUAGAGCUUUAAAGUUCAUGCAUUAUUAGUAAUUAUAUCGGCAUGCUUACCAUUAGUUGAAGCUAUCAUAACAAUCAUGAGCAUGAGCAAUAUAAUAAUUCCAUCCUUAAUUAGGGUUGUGAUGGAGGGGUAAGUACGACUUCGUCCUAAAUUAGAAAUCUCGAGUUCUAGUCUUGGAUAUAAAGUCAUCUUUAUUAGGGAGCAUUUUAUUUCUCAAUGUGAGAAUUUUCGGCGCGAAUGCGAAUUUUAUCGGACUCUAAUAUGAGUAUUGAACACUAAUUGCAAAAAAAAAAAAUGAACUCCUCCGAUUCAAAGCUUUUGUUGCCACGUGGCUAGGAGGUCACAGGUUCGAGCCGUGAAAAUAACCUUUUGCAUAAAUCCAACGUAAGACUGUGUAUAAUAGACCCUUGUGGUUCAACUCUUCCCNNNNNNNNNNNNNNNNNNNNNNNNNAAGCUUAGUACACCAGACUAUUUUUUUAUGAGGUCCUGUCUUUGGCAGUUGACACUGGUCCGUGGAGUUGAGUUUAAGAGGUUAUUAAUGAUGCAUUAUUAUUAUUAUUAUUAUUAUUAUUAUUAUUAUUAUUAUUAUUAUUAUUAUUAUUAUUAUUAUUAUUAUUAUAUAGAGGCGUAAAUGUUUGACGAUAUGUGAUAUGUUCUUCCUUUGUGACUUUUGCAACUAGAAUAUUUUUCAUUUGAAGCUGAAACGAAGAGAAGUCUUUCUCUAUAACCAUAAUAAAUUAAUGUAUUUUGUUUAUAUAUUGUGUGUAAAAAAAAGGAAAAAUUGCUCUUUAUAACCGCGGUAAAAAUAAUAGCCGAAAAAAUAUUAAAAAAUUUAUAUUAUAUAUAUAUAUAUAUUCAAUAUAUUAUAUACAAAUUUUAUGUACUUUUUAACUACCAAACUAGUUCUAAAAAUUAAUCUAGAAAACAAUAAACUGGUUCGACUAUUAAAAAACAAAUAUUCUCUUCUAAUCAUUAAGGAAAUCUUUUCGGUGAUGUGAUUAGAUCCAACACCUUUUGCCAUGGCAUGCGCCUCUUCAUUCCAUUUUCCUUCCUUUAUUUUUCCUCUUUUAAUCAUAUCAAACUUUAAUACUUUCCUCUUUCUCUCACAGAUGAUUUCAUCAUUAUAGCAAGGGCCCACCCUUGGCAUGCAUCACGUAGAAAAAUAAUUCUAUAGUAGUGUAUGCAAAAUUUUACACAAGUAAUAUUGAAUUAUUGUUACAAUUUUUGUCUGUAAUUAUGGUAAUUUUAAAAUUUUAAUUUGUGUUUCAAAUUAAUAAUAUUCGCUUUGCAUUAGUUUCAAGCGAUGCGGUUCAUUAAAUUCUAUUAUCUUGAACAACCUUUCCUUUUGAUCGUACCGUUCAAGAGCGGGAGGUAGUUUUUUUUUUUUUUUUUUCAUGUUGUCAAAGAAUUGGACAAUGAUUAUUUUAUAUUUCUAAAGAUUUGAAUAUUUAAAAAAAAAAUAGCGAGUGCCUAAUCGAAUUAAUCAAGUCACCUAGAGCUGUUAAUAUGGACCAGGCCGGAUUAGCCAGCUCAACCAUGUGGGCUUUAGCAAUUGACAGAAUGAGUUGGACUAGCCCACCAUUUUGAUGGGCCUUAUAAUGGUAAACUCAUUUCAGCCCUAUGUGGAUUGCGGCCCCCCAUGGGUUGGUCCAUCAUUUUAAAAAAAAUAUAAUUUUAUGUUUUUUUCUUUAAGUUCUAACCUAAAAAUAAUAUAAAUAUUUAAAAUUUAAAUAAUAUCUUAUUGAAAAAAUUUCGCAAAACUUAAUAAUUUUUUAUAUUGUUCCAAUAUAUCACAAUAAAUAUUAAAAAUAAGUAAAAGAUACGACUUUUCAUUUACUAAAAGUCAAAACUCAAAACAAAUUAUUCAAGAGAACGUCCAUGACGCUUUUGGAUAUACAACACAUCAUCUUCAUCAAACACAUUUGAAUCCGUUUGUGACAAGGUUGUCUUAACAUCUUCACUUUCAUCAACUUUUACAAUUCAUAUGCAAUAUUAAUUAGUUAAAUAUUAAGAAUGAUAAAAUUUUAAAUACAAAUAAUAUUCAAAUUCAUAUAAAAAAUAUUACCAGUUUGAGUUUGGAAAAAGUCGUACAACCAAUUUUGAGUAGUAACAACUGUUUGGACAUUUUAAUGACGUAUGCAACUUUUAUACUUUGUCAGAACACGCCCCCUCCUCCCCUCCCCCCACCCCACCCCACCCCCAACACAAUGCUAAAUGUUGAUUCCGAUGCUACAGUAGUAAUAGGAAUACUAAGUACAUCACGCAUCGUCACUGGAAGAUCGAGAUAUUUUCUAAAAUAGUCCUUCCAAUACAUGACAACAUCCUUCUCUUGAAACUUUUCAAGAUCAAGUUUUAGUUCCUCUAAGUAAAGAUCUAAUUUUGACUUUCUAUCGCUAGAGGCAGUAUACUGUUUGUAUGCUAUAUAUUUUAAAUAAAUAUUUUUAUUAGGUCCACGGGCUGACCCAGACCAACCUUAGUCAAGUCUCAAGAGCCGCGGGCUUAUUAGGAUCGGGCUUAAAGGUCUCGUUUUUAAAUGGGCUCCAAAAAUUUUAACCCAACCCUACUAAAUUAUGGGCCGGGCUGGUCAGGCCCAAUGGGGCAAGCCCAUAUUGACGACUCUAAAGUCGCCUAGGAAUAAAGUUGAAGUCUACCUUAAUUUUUUUGCAACUCUUAUUUUUUUCUCAUAAUUAAAUUUAUGUUAACCAAACAAUCCAUGAUAUAAAAACACCAACUCCUUUGGAUGCAAAACUGAAAAUGUUGGAAAGAAAGUGGAACGGUAUUAUGUUGUCAUGAAAUUGGAUAGAAAUUCAACGAAUAAACAAAUGCUAUUUUACAGUAAUUAAUCUAUAUAAAUGGUAUUUAAGGGCCUAAAAUAUACCACAAAUUAUAGGAGUCAUUAGUGAUUCGAGCCUGAGUAUAAAGUUGUCCUUCUUAGGAAGGAACUUUUUUCGGUGAAUUUUAAUUUAGUCGGACUUCGAACAUGUACAAGACAUAGCAUAUAGAAAACUAAAAAGAAAGAAUGUUGAGAACCAAGAAAGCUCAGAGCUCAUUUGAUACGAAAAAUAAGGAAUAAUUAAUUUCGGAAUAUAAAAAUACGAACUCUUUUGGACGCAAAAUUGAAAAUGUUGAAAACACCGUGGAACUGGUAUUAUCAUUAAAGUGGGUUGAAAAUCAAUGAAAAAACAAAUGCUAUGUUACAAUAAUUAGUCUAUGUUAAUAGUCUUUUAAGGACCUAAAACAAACAAUAGGAUUUAUUGUAGAAUAAUCACUAAUGAUUGCUUCAUUGUAGAAUGUUGAUACCCAUCAAUAUAGAUUGUGAUCGAGUGGUAAGUAUUUAUUUAUUGUCAGAGGCGGAUCCAGAAUUUAUAUUUUAUAAGUUCAAUUUUUAAGAUAUUAGUAUUGAACCCAUUAUAUUUUUAAAGUUAUGGGUUCAUAUCUACUAUUUUUAUAAUUUUAAGAAAUUUUUACAUAUAAAUUUUUGCUCCGCGUGGAAAGUUAUGAGUUCAAUUGAACCUGUAGUCAACCUUCUACAUCCGCCUUUGUUCAUCGUCGACCAGAUAUUUCAAAUUCGAGCCUUGAUUAUAAAGUUGUCUUUGCUAGGGAACUGUUUGCCGUCUAUUGUGGGCUUUUCGGGGCGAAUCCAAAUAAAUUAGUCGGGUUCCAGUGCGUAUAUAAAACAAAUGGAAUAUUGAUACAAUCAAACCUCUCUAUAACAUUCUCGUUUGUUCCGAAUAUUUUUGAAUGUUAUAGCAAAAUGCUGCUAUAGAGAACAUAUAUUAUAACAUAAUAUUGAUUCCGAAAAAACUUGACUUUUAUAGUAAAUUGUAAUUAUAUCGGGAUAUUGUUAUAGAGCGCUCUGACAGUACCCAAGAGGGUUAUAGGGUUACAAUUUACUUUUACAGUACGGUAAAUCUCUUAAUGAUUAAUGAAAUCACACCGCAAGGUAAAGUAAUCCUUUUUGUUAAGACAAGUUAGUGGUCAAAGAUCUUAUCUAAUCUUUCAUGAUAAAAAGCCAAUAAAUAUGGAAACUUUUAUUGCAAAAAGUUGACAUUUAAGUCUAAUGUUUAGAUAGUAUGAAUAAAUAAGAAAAUGACAUGACCUUGAUAUAUGUCUUUGCCUCAUUUUUUUUAAUACUACCGACAAAAAUAUAUAAAAUUAAGUUGUGUUCAUGAAUUUACUUACAACUUGGUAAAAUAUCAUAAAAAAAUAAUUUACUGGUCAAUGGCAUAAUCGUCUUCAUUAGAAUUAGCUAGAGAACUCGAAAUCUGUUUAAAUAGAGAAUUGAUAAUUCGGCCAAUUAAUCAAGUAAAUAGUUUCUGCCGCUGGCUAAAAAUGGAAAAAGCCCAAAAUAAUCAAAAUGGCCUAUCAUCCAAUCGCGCGAGAAAUUCAAAAAUAGCCAGAUUUACAAGUGGUCAUUCAAAAAUAGUCACAAUUUCAAAGGUAAUCGAAAUUUAGCCAUUUUUCAGGUAAAGAUAAAUCUGAACGAAAACACUGUUCAAAAUUCGGAAAAAUACUCCAGCAUAAUAUACUGGAGUUUGGAGCACCGGUGCUCCAGUCUCCAGUAUAUUAUACUGGAGCCAGCAAAGUAUACCGGUCCAGCAUAAUAUGCUGGAAGUUCAUACACAGGUGUACCGAACUCCAUUAUAUUAAGUUGGACCGAUCUCUGUUGCAGCAAAAUAGUGGCUAUUUUUUAUUGACUUAGUAAACGCUGGCUAUUUUUGAAUGAUCAAUCCGAAAACUGGCUAGACCAUACUAUUUUAACUAAAAAGUUAGAUAUAUUAAGCCCUUGGCGUGUUCCGUUGAUUCUAAUUGGGUCUAUGAAAGAGAAUGGGCCUAGUUGAUUGAAUCAUAAUUUUUGGGAAAAUAAUAGUGUGUAAUAGCUCUUAAAAUAAUAGCCGAAAAAUAUAUAUAUUUGUAUAUAUAAAUAUAUAUUUCUGUAUUUUAUAUAUAAAAUUAUACAAAUCUUAUACACUUAUGCGACUUUGUUGUAAGUAGUUUCGACUAUGCGCUAAAAAUGAUGUUUGCCCUAAUUUUGGCAACAAGUACUUACCAAUUGGAUUCAAUUUAAUUAACUGCCAGUGUGGCUCUUAUAACUUUUUUUUUUCUUUUUUGGAUUUUUAAAACUUUUGUUCCACUAGAAAUGAUACAGGUAGUAACAAUUCUCAAACAGUGAGAACUGCCAAAAUGUAAAAAUUACCAAUAUAUCUGGAAUUCCUCUUCUUUUUUAAGUUUAAUAUUAAACUUAUUGGACUUUUUUUUUGAAAAUGCUGAACAAUAAGGUAGACCUACUUGUGUAUAAAUGGCGUAGAAUAACUACUUUUUAAAAUUAUCACGACCCAAAAUCCCUUCGAAGGGGGUCGUGAUGGCACCUAGUCUCUAAAACUAGGUAAGCCUAACAUUAACAUAAUUAAUGACAAUAUUCACUAACUUCGAAUUAGAUAUCUCUGCACAAUUUAUAAUUCCCAAAAUCGGUAGUACAAGUCAUAAGCCUUUCUAGGAGUAGUUAUAUAAAAUGAAUACAUCAUUGUUCCAGAACAAAAGGAAACAAUGGAAAUAGGUACAAUAGAAGGUGACUCUAAGGCCUGCAAACGCUACUGCAGGUUUACCUUGAGUCUCCACAACAACGAUCCGCACAACCACUAACGAUCUGUACAAAAAUAUAUAGAAGUGUAGCAUGAGCACACCACAGCGGUGCCCAGUAAGUAUCAAGACUAACCUCGAUGGAGUAAAGACGAGGAACAGUCAAGACAUCUACUGGUCUAAUAAGCUGAACAAGAUAUGAUAAUAAACUAAUAAGAUAAAGAUAACAAAGUAACGCCAAUAGCAAGAAGAAAUCAAAUUACAAACAGUAGAGACGAUAAGGGGGAAAACACAGAUGGUACCGAGAAGUAACCAUGUAAAUUAAAACCAACACAGCUGGGAUACAUACAAGUAAAAAUGUGCUCAAAUAAGGAAAGCAAUGUUAACUCAACCAAUCGCAUCAUUCCUAAUACACAAUUCCGACCAUCCCAAUCCUCGAAGUAUCAUAUCAUAAUCACAACUUCCAAACCUUUAACACACAUGACACCUUGUGCCCACAUAUUUCCCUUUUACUUUGCACGUCAAAGAUCCACGUGUUACUCAGUACAUAAUAUCCAUGACAAACACUAAUUAAGAUGUUUAAGAAGUCCCAUUUAUAUAUCAUAAAGUAAAUUUAUAGUUUCUAGACCAAAUAGGAAAACCAGCGAGAAAAGAUGAAGUUAUUUUUAGAAAUCAUUUGAGUGAAGAAAAUAAUAUUUUUCAAAUAGAGAUACAACAUCGGAUAAGCUAUCGCCUUUAAUAUAGGAUUCAUUAAAUUAAAACUUAAUAGAAAUUUCUUUUUAAGAAAAUAUAACCUCAGACAUGUUAAGGAGAUUUAGUUGAGAAACCAGUUAAAAUAAAAUAUAACAAUUAUUAGAAAUAGUGGAUACUAAAAUAUACAGCGAGUUCUAACUUAAAGGCACAUAAGGAAACAUGAUAUUAGUUCCUUCAUUUUAAAUCACAAUAUUACGAACGACCCAACAUGGCAGGAGGAAAUGACUCAACGUAGUAACUCUACUUUGAAAAUUAAUUCACCAGAAUAAUAAUAUUAGGAAAAGAACUCAGGAAAUGAUGGCAAGUCAAUAAGUUAAUGAAAAUAACUCGAUCCUCAAAACUUAGUGAAAACCAGAAAUACAAAUUAUCAAGCGUUGCACAAAGGAACUCAAGUCAAUACAGCAAAACAGGAGAUACCAAAAUACAAGAUAUGUUGCGGCACACAACCCUAUCCCACUAUAUAAUACCAAUUCACCCUUAUUCCUCUUUAAUAUAUCACCCGUAUUCCUUCUGUUGCGACGUGCAAUCCGAUCCCACCGUACAAUAUCAAUUCACCCUUAUUCCUCCUCAAUAUAUCACCUUUAUUCCUCAUGUUGCGGCGUGCAACCCGAUCGCACCGUACAAUAUCAAUAUCAUAACAAUAAACAUAAUAUGUUGCACCGGUGCUCCAAUCUCCAGUAUAUUAUAUUGGAACUUUCCGCGUAUUGGAGUUCCAGCAUAAUAUGCUGGAAGUUCAUACACAGGUGCACCGAUCUCCAGUAUAUUAUGUUGGAACUUUCCGUGUUGCAGCAAAAUGGUGGCUAUUUUUCAAUGACUUUGUUAACGCUGGCUAUUUUUGAAUAAUCAGUCGAAAACUGGCUAGCACGUUGAUGGUGCAAAUGAAACAAAUUUUGGAUACAGCCCUUCUGAGUAAGCGCAAUAAAAUUUCAGCUUACUACAGUUAGACCUCUCUAUAACAACAUCUCUAUAUAAUAGUCACUCAUUAUAAAAGCCAAGUUUUUCUUGAAACCGAUUAUUGUAUUAUGUUAUAAUAUAUACCCUCUAUAACAACACUUUACUAUAGCAGUUAACAAAAUUCAGAACAAACGAGGCUGUUAUAGAGUGUUAGAUAUUGUCAGAGAGUAUCUCAAAUAUAAGAUUGUAUGUCGGAUAGAUAGUCAAAUAUUGUAGGUAGAAGGCGUGAUCUCAGGGAUGCAUUGUUGACUUAUGUGUCUAGCUUUUGUGUAUAUAUUCUCGAUGUAAUUUAUCAUUUUAAGCAUGAAGUGAAUUACACUUACAUCAUUCACAUGGUAUCAGAGCCUCUACGAUCUCGGUAGAGACUCAUACCUUUUUUUCGGCUGCUUUUUCCGGCAGACACUACUUCCGGUCAGAUCUUGUUACCCUCUGACCCCCGACUCCAUUAGUAGUCUCCUUUUCCGGCCAGAUCUUGUUUCCACAAUCUUGAGUUCAGAAAGAAAGACAUCAAUCUUGCCAUUUUUGCAACACGGUAAGAAAUUUCUCUACUUUUGCUUCUUGUUGUUGUUAUUGAAGUUGUAAUGAGAUAGGAAGAAGAGUUGUUGGGUCUUGUAUUUUGAGAGAGGAACAGAGUAAUUGGGUUUAUGAUAAGCUUUUCGUUAAAGCUAAUUCAAGUCCACUUUAUUGUCCCACUUCUUUAUUGCUUUUUGUCGCACCUCUUUAUUUUGUCCCACCUCUUUAUUGUUUUUUUUCAAAAAGUUCACUAUUGAUAUCCGUUUUUCCUCUACAUCAAACCAUUACUUUGGCUUAUUUUGGAUUCUAGUGGAAGCUAUUUGCAACAUAUUAUUUUUACCUAUUUAAUCUUUUCGGAAUUAGAAUCUCAAAAUGUCGGAGCAAGAUGAUUCUUCACAGACAGGUGAGUCAUCCACAGUAGAAGAAGUCAAACCAUUUUUCUCUUCAAUUUCAAAUCCUUCCACUAUUACUACUGUUAAAUUACAAGGUAGUAAUAAUUACUCACCGUGGUCUUCUUCAGUUGAGAUGUGGUUCCUGGGACAGGGAUAUGAGGAUCACUUAG